ACUUUACAAUGCGGGAAACCGUGAUAAGGGGACACCGAGUGCUAGCAUCAUAUGCUGGCUGUCCAGGUGUGUAAAAUACACCUGUUAGCAAGGGCCGGGCAAGACCGGUGCCAGCCGCCGCGGUAACACCGGCGGCCCGAGUGGUGAUCGUGAUUAUUGGGUCUAAAGGGUCCGUAGCCGGUUUGGUCAGUCCUCCGGGAAAUCUGAUAGCUCAACUAUUAGGCUUUCGGGGGAUACUGCCAGGCUUGGAACCGGGAGAGGUAAGAGGUACUACAGGGGUAGGAGUGAAAUCUUGUAAUCCCUGUGGGACCACCUGUGGCGAAGGCGUCUUACCAGAACGGGUUCGACGGUGAGGGACGAAAGCUGGGGGCACGAACCGG
Molecule: ribosomal RNA, 380 nt
Filed under: uncultured archaeon
Lineage: Archaea
Description: bacterial SSU rRNA
Rfam family: Archaeal small subunit ribosomal RNA
Source: RNAcentral